This is a long non-coding RNA of Onychostoma macrolepis, 1410 nucleotides long. RefSeq lists it as uncharacterized. NCBI's taxonomy places the organism in Eukaryota, Metazoa, Chordata, Actinopteri, Cypriniformes, Cyprinidae. The record is from RefSeq and is a predicted model, not a curated record. The transcript is spliced from 3 exons.
GUUGCAUUGUCACAGAAAUGUAUUAUUUGCACGUCUUUUUUAAGUCUUUCGGUACUCGUGCACUCCAGAGGCGCUUUUCUGUGCGCUGCAGUCACAUCUAAAGCGCGCGCUGCGAACAAACAAACAAAGCUUGUUGCGCUUAAGUGGCCAAAUACACACAAAAUAACGUCAAAAUGGUCGUCCUGACGAGUAUCCUCAUAAGCAUUGUCGGGUUUGUCUUAAGUUGCGAACGCAUAUGUAUAAGUAUUGGAUCCGUGAAACAGGUCUUGUGACAGCAGCCUAAUAAAGCUGUGCCGUCUGUCAUUAAUGUUAAUCAAACAACAAAAGACAGAGGAAAUCCCUCACUGCUCUUAAAUAAAUAAUGUUUUGUGGAAUAACUUUAAUAUGUUGAUUUACAGUUUAUUCAAUUUCUGUAUCCUAUUUAAAACAUUCAUAUUACAACUUCCUCGGCGCGUCGCGCAACAAGUGGCCUCACAAAAUGGCGAUUUUUCCCAUCAGCCACCGCGGCGCUAGAGCAGUGACGUCACGCCCCAUCCCCUAUACUGGUCCAUUCACUUGAGACCACUGAGGUUUCGAAACGUAUGACGCAGCGAAGCGUGGUCGACGUGACCAAAGCUCUGUACGUGACUAACGUGCUCCACGUGGUUAACGGUUUACGUGCUCCGAAGCACUGAUUGUAAACAAAAGAUUAAUUAAGUGAAUCGUGACUCAAGCGGUGUUUUUAACACGGCCAUCAUUACAGACAAUAAGAAGGCGAUCUUUGCUGGUGUGUGUUUGAGAACGUCCUCAUCUGUCUCGUUUCUGGAAUCAGAACAUGAUGCACCUGGUGAAUGCCACCCACAGCAUGUUUGUGAAAGAGGCAUUCCUCGCCAUGCAGCGUGGGAACAACCUGGACCAUCCAUCCGGAAUUCCGACGGAGCAUUGUCACACUAGAGCCAGCUGUUGCCAUGGAGACCGCCACAAGUGCUCUAGUGCGUGUCCCUUUUUAGAAAUGAAUUCUGAGGUGGGAAGUGCCUCAGGAGAGCCAAUCGGUAGCUAUCGCCCUGCGUUAAUAGCGUACGCUGCUCUUUGAAGCCCUGAAUUAAUUAGGUUGCACAACAUUUUCCCAAACCACCUGCUGGAUGGUCAGAUGUGGGUGAGGCUGACUGUUCACCUAUGGUAUAACAGCAGUCGCUUUAGCUUAAAUGUCACUAUGGGAAAUCGGCAUACCAGAAUCCAAGGGAUGCAGGCAAAGGUUGACAGAUGGCUUAAAUAACAGAACCAACCGUGAGAAUAAGAGUGCUUGCAGCACCUUUAAACACACAGGCAAGCGUAUACAUUCAGAUGCACACACACACAUGUUUUAUUUUAUUUUUUUGUGUAUUGAUGUCUAUUGUCUCUGUUCCUUAAGCCUGAUUUGUAAAGUGACCU